AAUCAACGCUGGCGGCGUGCCUAACACAUGCAAGUCGAACGCGAAAGCCCCGCAAGGGGUUAGUAGAGUGGCAAACGGGUGAGUAACACGUGGGUGACCUGCCUUAGAGUGGGGGAUAACGUCCCGAAAGGGACGCUAAUACCGCAUAACAUCCUGCCUUUGAAGAGGUGGAGAUCAAAGCCGGGGACCGCAAGGCCUGGCGCUCAAAGAGGGGCCCGCGCCUGAUUAGCUAGUUGGUGAGGUAAUGGCUCACCAAGGCAACGAUCAGUAUCCGGCCUGAGAGGGCGGACGGACACACUGGGACUGAGACACGGCCCAGACUCCUACGGGAGGCAGCAGUGGGGAAUUGUUCGCAAUGGGCGCAAGCCUGACGACGCAACGCCGCGUGAGGAUGAAGACCUUCGGGUCGUAAACUCCUUUCGAUCGAGACGAAUGGCCCUUGGGUGAACAGCCCAGGGGUAUGACGGUAC
Molecule: ribosomal RNA, 470 nt
Filed under: uncultured bacterium
Lineage: Bacteria
Description: bacterial SSU rRNA
Rfam family: Bacterial small subunit ribosomal RNA
Source: RNAcentral